This 2124-nucleotide long non-coding RNA is filed under the name Vigna radiata. Its description in RNAcentral is "long non-coding RNA (VRAD_LNC003314)". The record is from RNAcentral. Lineage: Eukaryota; Viridiplantae; Streptophyta; Magnoliopsida; Fabales; Fabaceae.
UUUUCUCUUCUUGCAACUCUAAUUUUGAAACUAACCAACCAAUCAGACACACCGAGUGACUCACUCACCCUUUCAUUACAUUUUCACACAUAACAAAACCAACUCACUGCUCUUCUCUCGAGAAACCCCGACCCGGAAAAUGCGAGCCAAAUCGGAGCCCGCGGCCCAGCCUCCCUCCUCCUCCGCCUCCGGUGGCGCUUCCUCCGCCGCGUCGCUGGAUCCGAUCUUCCACCUCCUCCGGGUUCUGCCAUUCAGCUUCCUCCGCCCCCCGCGGCUCCGCCUCAAACUCCCCUCCCUGACCCUCCCCUCCCCCAACGCCGUCUUCGCCCUCCUCCUCCUCACCUAUUUCAUGGUCGUCUCCGGCAUCGUUUACGACAUCAUUGUGGAACCUCCCGGCAUCGGCUCCACGCAGGACCCCUACACCGGCUCUGUGCGCCCCGUCGUCUUCAUGUCCGGCCGCGUCAACGGGCAGUACAUCAUUGAAGGCCUCUCCUCUGGCUUCAUGUUCGUGCUCGGCGGCAUCGGCAUCAUUCUCCUUGAUCUCGCGCUUGAUCGCAACCGCCCGAAGUCCGUCAAGGUCUCCUACGCCUCCGCCGGCGUCUCCUCCGUCGUCCUUGCCUACGUUAUGAGCAUGCUCUUCAUCCGCAUUAAGAUCCCCGCCUAUCUCAGAUGAACUCGUGCGCUUUAAGUCAUUUGUAGUUUCACUUUUGAUGAGGUUUCGUUUUCGCGCUUUCUAGGGUUGAUGGAAUUACAUGGAUAUGGUAAUUGGAUCUGAUUUGGUGUUAUUUAUAUGAAAUGUACUUUUUGGAGUAAAAUUAUUGUGUCACAGCUGAGUUUUCUUGUUUGUUUGACGUGCUCUCUGAAUGUGAUUUGUGCGUGUUGUUCGGAUCGCGGUUAGUGUUAAUUGUGUUAAUUCUGGAUUGAAGCAUGUUUGUUUAAGGGCAAUCGUGUUAGGUGAACUGCCUCGUUCUUAUACAUUUAAACACUCUACUUAGUGUUUGGAUGUUUUCUUCAUUAUUACUAUUAGAGUCUGUUAGAUUAGGGAUUGCAGACAAUUCUAGGAGAACAAAACUUGACAUUGAAAAUGGAAGUAGCGAUUCCAUUAUGGAUUGGCUGAUUGUGUUGUGUGUGUGAGCUUUAUCUAUACUUUUCUUUUUUAGUUGUUGUGGGAUGAUCUUGCUCUUCGUCUUGUUGAUAUGAUGUGUGUGACCCUCUGUUUUGUGAUUGGCUGUCCUGCAUUCUUCUUGCUUCAAUUACUUAGAACAAUAGUGGCCUGUGUUGUUGACAGCUACAAACCCACAAUAGGCCUCUCUUGUACCAAGUAAAUCUUCACUCCUUUUUCUGUAACACUAUACUAGAAUCCAGGUACUUCAAACAGCAAUUUAUGUCUUUGUUGUUUUUUUGAACAUUAGACUUGUUUACUUGUUUAGAUGAACUUCUCUAUAAAUACUUUUUUAGGAGAAGAAAAUAAGAAAAAGAAAAUGAAAUAAGUUUUUCUAAGAACUAAAACUAGUCUAUAAUAAGCUAAAAAUCGUAUUAGUGAAACUAAUAUGAGAAAAGUUUUACAAAUUAAUUUAUGCACAAGAUGAUUUAACUUAAGAAAAAUCUUAUUUUAAUUCUUUUGUUUUUUCCUUCAUCUAGAUUAUUUAUAUAGAAGUUUAUUCGACCAUACCUUUUAUAAUAAUCUUUCCUCCUUAUGUAUGUCCUGGGAUAUUUGCAGAAGCAGAAAAUUACUUGAUUUUUGCUCACCCCUGCUGUUGAUAAUUAUCAUCUGGCUAAUAGAAGGUGAAAAUCUCCUCUUUAAUACCCAGUUGAUAUUCCAAAGAACUUGUAAUAGAAUUCUAAGAGUGCAAGAUUACUUUUUUUUUUAGUUUCACUAUCAUAUGAUCUAUAAAUAAGUCAAAAUCAAUCAGUUAUUGCAGUUCUUUCCUCAUUACCAAUAAGUGGGACCAAGUUCUUUCUCACUUAAGGCUUGUUUGCCUCCACUUUUGCCUUCAAUCCUAGUUCCCAUACCAAGCCUUAGAUCUCAUUAGUAACCCUGAAAUCAAAAGUUUAAAAAUGACCACGCAAAAGGAUUUUUGAUCUUGAUUAGCUUUGCUCUUUUCUUCCCUCAUUGUCUUUCUC